RNAcentral lists this transfer RNA (86 nucleotides) under Chloroflexaceae bacterium. RNAcentral's name for it is "tRNA-Leu". It matches the Rfam family "tRNA". From Rfam's summary of the family: Transfer RNA (tRNA) molecules are approximately 80 nucleotides in length. Their secondary structure includes four short double-helical elements and three loops (D, anti-codon, and T loops). Lineage: Bacteria; Bacillati; Chloroflexota; Chloroflexia; Chloroflexales; Chloroflexaceae. The record is from RNAcentral.
GCCGAAGUGGCGGAAUGGCAGACGCGCCUGGCUCAAACCCAGGUGAGGGCAACCUCAUGUGGGUUCGACUCCCACCUUCGGCACCA